RNAcentral lists this ribosomal RNA (509 nucleotides) under bacterium MF10. RNAcentral's name for it is "bacterial SSU rRNA". It matches the Rfam family "Bacterial small subunit ribosomal RNA", at positions 15 to 520 of the family's 1533-position model. The record is from RNAcentral.
GAUCCUGGCUCAGAUUGAACGCUGGCGGCAGGCCUAACACAUGCAAGUCGAGCGGUAGAGAGAAGCUUGCUUCUCUUGAGAGCGGCGGACGGGUGAGUAAUGCCUAGGAAUCUGCCUAGUGGUGGGGGAUAACGUUCGGAAACGGACGCUAAUACCGCAUACGUCCUACGGGAGAAAGCGGGGGACCUUCGGGCCUCGCGCCAUUAGAUGAGCCUAGGUCGGAUUAGCUAGUUGGUGAGGUAAUGGCUCACCAAGGCGACGAUCCGUAACUGGUCUGAGGGGAUGAUCAGUCACACUGGAACUGAGACACGGUCCAGACAAAUACGGGAGGCAGCAGUGGGGAAUAUUGGACAAUGGGCGAAAGCCUGAUCCAGCCAUGCCGCGUGUGUAAGAAGGUCUUCGAAAUGUAAAGCACUUUAAAUUGGGAGGAAGGGUAGUAACUUAAUCCGUUGUUAGUAGAACGUUACCGACAGAAUAAGCACCGGCUAACUUCGUGCCAGCAGCCGCGG